Molecule: ribosomal RNA, 308 nt
Filed under: uncultured bacterium
Lineage: Bacteria
Description: bacterial SSU rRNA
Rfam family: Bacterial small subunit ribosomal RNA
Source: RNAcentral
GAUGAACGCUAGCGGGAGGCUUAAUACAUGCAAGUCGAACGGUAACAGGUCCUUCGGGAUGCUGACGAGUGGCGCACGGGUGCGUAACACGUACGCGACCUACCUUCAAGAGGGGGAUAGCCCUGGGAAACUGGGAUUAAUACCGCAUAGUAUUAUUAGGUUGCAUGACUUAAUAAUUAAAACUUAGGUGCUUGAAGAUGGGCGUGCGUUCCAUUAGGUAGAUGGUUGAGGUAACGGCUCACCAUGCCGACGAUGGAUAGCGGGUCUGAGAGGAUGAUCAGCCACACUGGAACUGAGACACGGUCCAG